GAUGAACGCUGACAGAAUGCUUAACACAUGCAAGUCAACUUGAAUUUGGGUUUUUAACUUAGAUUUGGGUGGCGGACGGGUGAGUAACGCGUAAAGAACUUGCCUCACAGCUAGGGACAACAUUUAGAAAUGAAUGCUAAUACCUGAUAUUAUGAUUUUAAGGCAUCUUAGAAUUAUGAAAGCUAUAAGCACUGUGAGAGAGCUUUGCGUCCCAUUAGCUAGUUGGAGAGGUAACAGCUCACCAGGGCGAUGAUGGGUAGCCGGCCUGAGAGGGUGAACGGCCACAAGGGGACUGAGACACGGCCCUUACUCCUACGGGAGGCAGCAGUGGGGAAUAUUGGACAAUGGACCAAGAGUCUGAUCCAGCAAUUCUGUGUGCACGAUGAAGUUUUUCGGAAUGUAAAGUGCUUUCAGUUGGGAAGAAAAAAAUGACGGUACCAACAGAAGAAGUGACGGCUAAAUACGUGCCAGCAGCCGCGGUAAUACGUAUGUCACAAGCGUUAUCCGGAUUUAUUGGGCGUAAAGCGCGUCUAGGUGGUUAUGUAAGUCUGAUGUGAAAAUGCAGGGCUCAACUCUGUAUUGCGUUGGAAACUGUGUAACUAGAGUACUGGAGAGGUAAGCGGAACUACAAGUGUAGAGGUGAAAUUCGUAGAUAUUUGUAGGAAUGCCGAUGGGGAAGCCAGCUUACUGGACAGAUACUGACGCUGAAGCGCGAAAGCGUGGGUAGCAAACAGG
This 735-nucleotide ribosomal RNA is filed under the name uncultured Fusobacterium sp. RNAcentral's name for it is "bacterial SSU rRNA". It matches the Rfam family "Bacterial small subunit ribosomal RNA", at positions 28 to 776 of the family's 1533-position model. Lineage: Bacteria; Fusobacteriati; Fusobacteriota; Fusobacteriia; Fusobacteriales; Fusobacteriaceae. The record is from RNAcentral.